CAGUCGCCGCGGUAAUACGUAGGUGGCAAGCGUUGUCCGGAAUUAUUGGGCGUAAAAGGCUCGCAGGCGGUUUCUUAAGUCUGAUGUGAAAGCCCCCGGCUCAACCGGGGAGGGUCAUUGGAAACUGGGAAACUUGAGUGCAGAAGAGGAGAGUGGAAUUCCACGUGUAGCGGUGAAAUGCGUAGAGAUGUGGGGGAACACCAGUGGCGAAGGCGACUCUCUGGUCUGUAACUGACGCUGAGGAGCGAAAGCGUGGGGAGCGAACAGGAUUAGAUACUCCGGUAGUCCCUGUCUCUUAUAA
This 301-nucleotide ribosomal RNA is filed under the name uncultured bacterium. RNAcentral describes it as "partial 16S ribosomal RNA". It matches the Rfam family "Bacterial small subunit ribosomal RNA", at positions 509 to 809 of the family's 1533-position model. The record is from RNAcentral.